Molecule: non-coding RNA, 732 nt
Organism: Bufo gargarizans (Asiatic toad)
Lineage: Eukaryota; Metazoa; Chordata; Amphibia; Anura; Bufonidae
Source: the annotation of a RefSeq genome assembly
UACACAACAUCAGGACGACCCAGAGCAGAACCUUGUGAGGGUUGAACAUGAUGAGAGCUGUCAUGAGGACGUCUGCAGUCUUUACUAUUCUCAUCACAGGAGUCCUGGGACAGUACUCGGUACAUCAGGACCCGUAUAUUACUGUGACCGAGGGAGAAGAUGUGCAAAUAAACUGCAGCUACACUGGCACAGAGUACAGUCUGCAAUGGUACCAGAGUGUCAGCAGCCACAAAAUUCAGUCACUUCUACUCCAGAGAACUAACGGUUAUACAUUUCUUGGGCGUUUUACAAUGUUUCUGGAUACCAAGGAGAAGUUCACCUAUCUCUAUAUGAACAAGUCACAAGUGGAAGACUCGGCAGUGUACUACUGUGCGAUAGGGGCACAGUGAUAAACUCCAGCAGGGGCGCAGUAUAAUAAGCUGUCAGCUCUGGAACACAUCAUCACAUAUCACUGGUGUUGUUCAGUUUUAUCCUAAUGCAUUCUGAAUGGAAAGCAUUCCGUUCAGUAUGCAUCAGUAUUUCUUCAUUUCAGUCCCUCUUAUGGUAUUUUGCCAGAGAAAAUGCUACAGCAUGCUGCAGUAUUUUCUCUUGCCAAAAUUCUGGAACACUUUCCAUUGUAUUAAUGCCGGAUCCGGUACCAAGUGUUUCGGGAAACCGGAUACGGUUUCCUGGUCUGCGCAUGCGCAGACCUUUAAAUCUGUGAGAAAAAAUAAAUACCAGAUCCAUUUUUCC